GGCCCAUUAGAACAACUGAAUAGAUCGUCACACUACGGAUGUGAAGGUUGCAGGUUUGAAUCCUGCAUGAGUCA
Molecule: transfer RNA, 74 nt
Filed under: Paludibacteraceae bacterium
Lineage: Bacteria; Pseudomonadati; Bacteroidota; Bacteroidia; Bacteroidales; Paludibacteraceae
Description: tRNA-Arg
Rfam family: tRNA
About the family: Transfer RNA (tRNA) molecules are approximately 80 nucleotides in length.
Source: RNAcentral